RNAcentral lists this ribosomal RNA (392 nucleotides) under Campylobacter jejuni. Its description in RNAcentral is "bacterial SSU rRNA". It matches the Rfam family "Bacterial small subunit ribosomal RNA", at positions 1 to 391 of the family's 1533-position model. Lineage: Bacteria; Pseudomonadati; Campylobacterota; Epsilonproteobacteria; Campylobacterales; Campylobacteraceae. The record is from RNAcentral.
UUUAUGGAGAGUUUGAUCCUGGCUCAGAGUGAACGCUGGCGGCGUGCCUAAUACAUGCAAGUCGAACGAUGAAGCUUUUAGCUUGCUAGAAGUGGAUUAGUGGCGCACGGGUGAGUAAGGUAUAGUUAAUCUGCCCUACACAAGAGGACAACAGUUGGAAACGACUGCUAAUACUCUAUACUCCUGCUUAACACAAGUUGAGUAGGGAAAGUUUUUCGGUGUAGGAUGAGACUAUAUAGUAUCAGCUAGUUGGUAAGGUAAUGGCUUACCAAGGCUAUGACGCUUAACUGGUCUGAGAGGAUGAUCAGUCACACUGGAACUGAGACACGGUCCAGACUCCUACGGGAGGCAGCAGUAGGGAAUAUUGCGCAAUGGGGGAAACCCUGACGCAG